UCCUGUAACGAAAGGUGGCCUCGGUGUCUGAGUCGCUUGGUCAUUAAAACUACAGGAAGAAAAAUUUGUGAGACUUUCCCGUGUUUGAAGGACUUUCUGUUCCUAUCAGACCCCAUUUGCUCACAGACA
The sequence is a small nucleolar RNA, 129 nucleotides long. Its record names the gene SNORA71. It matches the Rfam family "Small nucleolar RNA SNORA71". From Rfam's summary of the family: The members of this family belong to the H/ACA class of snoRNAs which bind a number of proteins (including dyskerin, Gar1p and Nop10p) to form snoRNP complexes. This class of snoRNAs are thought to guide the sites of modification of uridines to pseudouridines by forming direct base pairing interactions with substrate RNAs. This family includes U71 (SNORA71), ACA39 (SNORA39) and ACA60 (SNORA60). The record is from Ensembl.